UUGCAAAGAACUUUGAAGAGAGAGUUCAAGAGUACGUGAAACUGCUGAGAGGCAAACUGGUGGGCCCUCGAAAUCCCGUCUGCGGGGAGAUUCAGUCGGGUGUCGGCGGCCGUCUCGCAAUGGGUCUGUCGCAACCGAAGAUCGGGGCGCAUUCCGAGAGGCGAGUUCGCCGGAACCCGACGCAUUUCCCGCCCGCACGAAAGGACGCCGCAGCCGGUCGGGUAGCUGCGCGUGUCGGCCAUGAGGACGUUGCGACGGCAGGUGACCGGCGGCCCUAGGCUUCUCCGGAGGCACUAACGGUCGACGGUUGAUUAGCCGGCUCGUCCGUGGCGCGACACCCGACCGAGGUAACACGGACUUCGGAGUUCUUCUCUCCACGGAGAGAAACUCCCGCAAUCCACUACUUUCAAUAAAGAGAGAGCGAGCCGUCGGACAGGCGCGUUCCUGCGUGGUCGGACAGUCACCGCACUGGUCGAUCUGGUGGGAGCGCGUCGUUGGUUUCCGAGUCGGGAUCUCGCGGAGGAUGAAGGCUGGCGGCGAGUAGGUCGGUAACCCACCCGACCCGUCUUGAAACACGGACCAAGGAGUCUAACAUGUGCGCGAGUCGCGGGGUCUUGUUCAGGCCCAGAGGCGCAAUGAAAGUGAAGGCCGCCGCUCCUUCCCCUCGGGGUCGGAGUGAGGCGGCCCGGUUGGGACUCGCACGUGACACGGCACGUGAACGAAGCACCAACGACCCGCCCUGUUCUAUCUCCUGGAUAGGAACUCAAACGGAGUUCGAGCGCACACGUUGGGACCCGAAAGAUGGUGAACUAUGCCUGGGCAGGACGAAGCCAGAGGAAACUCUGGUGGAGGUCCGCAGCGGUUCUGACGU
This 871-nucleotide ribosomal RNA is filed under the name Atypoides riversi. RNAcentral's name for it is "eukaryotic LSU rRNA". It matches the Rfam family "Eukaryotic large subunit ribosomal RNA", at positions 364 to 892 of the family's 3401-position model. The record is from RNAcentral. Lineage: Eukaryota; Metazoa; Arthropoda; Arachnida; Araneae; Antrodiaetidae.